This 301-nucleotide ribosomal RNA is filed under the name uncultured bacterium. RNAcentral's name for it is "partial 16S ribosomal RNA". It matches the Rfam family "Bacterial small subunit ribosomal RNA", at positions 509 to 809 of the family's 1533-position model. The record is from RNAcentral.
CAGCAGCCGCGGUAAUACGGAGGGGGCUAGCGUUGUUCGGAAUUACUGGGCGUAAAGCGUACGUAGGCGGCUUUGUAAGUUAGAGGUGAAAGCCUGGUGCUCAACACCAGAACUGCCUUUAAGACUGCAUCGCUUGAAUCGCGGAGAGGUGAGUGGAAUUCCGAGUGUAGAGGUGAAAUUCGUAGAUAUUCGGAAGAACACCAGUGGCGAAGGCGGCUCACUGGCUCAUACUGGACGCUGAGGUGCGAAAGCGUGGGGAGCAAACAGGAUUAGAUACCCGCGUAGUCCCUGUCUCUUAUAA